AAAAAAAAAAAAAAAAAUCAAAGGCAUUUGUAUAGGCAAAGUGUCUCAUUGGCAAUAUGUUCUUUUUAAUUACUUGUUUGCAAAACCAUAAAUGAUGGAAGGUUGAUCUCUUGAAUCUUUCUUUGUUCGUUAUUGGUACUGCUUUUGCACAAUUGUUAACUUUUUUCAACUUAGCUAAUCAUUGGAUUUGUUUUAUUUAUCUUUCAUUUGGGUCAUAUACUUUGUCUGCUCCAUUAUGUGUUUCUAAACACAUUUAACACUGGAAGUAAAUGGCACUAAAUUGUCACAAGGGCUGACACAUUGGAAUAUUGCAUUGGAGCUUCGAAAUUUGGCAGGUAUCAUGUGAAAUAAGUGUGGACAGUUGCAUCUGCAUUUGGGUUCAAGCAGUUCUGCAACGAAGUAUUUAUACUUUUGGUGUGUGUCACAGGGAGAGGGAUUUCCUUUAGUGGGUUGACUUCUUUGAAGGGAUAGCCAAAGGGUAACUAGACUAAAUAAUUCUACAGCCAGAUAUGUUAGAUGGAUGACAUUGUUGAUUUGGAACUUUGGCUGUGUCAAUUCCAACAUUGAUGAUGUUAUGAUUGUAAAUUAUACUGGUUUAGAAAGAAGGAUUUUAACCCAAACCGUCAACUCUCCAGGAAACUUUCUUUACAAUUACUUAAAAGUCAUGCUGAUCUGCUUUCUAUCCCAUAUCUAUGCAGAACUUGACCAAUAUACAUGGUGUGAACAGUGUUGCCAUUUUGCUUAAUCCUAGUCUGCAUUUUAUAUCUAUACAACCUGAUCUAACCCAAAUAACUUUUUGUUGACCAUAUUUAGGAGAGACUGGAAGAUAUUCAAAA
Molecule: unclassified non-coding RNA, 836 nt
Filed under: Hevea brasiliensis (rubber tree)
Lineage: Eukaryota; Viridiplantae; Streptophyta; Magnoliopsida; Malpighiales; Euphorbiaceae
Source: RNAcentral